CAAUGACCUUUCAAAUGCACCUGGCAAUGAGUGAUUACAAACACUUAUUGUGAUCCAUGUCUUUACCGGUUGUGAUAUAGUUUUCUGAUUGCUUGAAAAGGAAAAAAAUGUGGGCGACAUUGAUGGCAAUUUGAAGAUGUGAAUUUAACAUAAAGAAUGAUGAUUGAUCAGCAUAAAUCACCGAGGUUUAACUGUAAGAUCACACAAACAUAUCAGAUGAGGUUAACAUGGUUAACGAUUCAAGAAACUAACUAUUUGCGCAAAAGGGAAGACUAAUUGAGGGUAUUCCCUCAACUUGGUCUAGACUUUUCCAGCAUGUAAAACGUGCAAUAUACUAAGGCAGGUGUUUAGGGGGACGAGCUUGGAAUUGGCUCUUAUGCUACCCAGUUCAGGCGCUAAUGGAUGGCGAAGGGACAAAGAGGAUCACUUAUUAAUAACUCUUUCUAAGGCCUCAUCAUUUUGGCAGAAGCUUGUACAUUGUGGAUGUACUGGGGAAUGCGGUUCAAUGCAAAAGAUUCUACAUCCUAAGCAUCAGAAACAAAAGCCAUACAAUCUACAGUUUAAGUGGACACAUACUUCAACAAGUCAAGCAUGACCCGUACCUAGGCCUAAAUAUUUCGGAAGACCUCAAAUGGACCACCCACAUAUUAAACGUGGCAAAGAAAGGAAAUUCAAUUCAACGUUAGGCUUUCAAAGAAGAAACUUGUAAUACUGCCAACAAGAUUGCAAAAAAAAAAAACCAGCUAACAUUUCGCUCGUCAGAUCAACGAUGGAAUAUGGAGCCACAGUAUGGGACCCAUACACGGUAACAAACACAAAUAAGCUAGAAAGGAUACAACGUCAAGCGGCAAGAUUCAUCACCAUCUAUUACAAGUCAAGAGAGGACGGUUGUGUCUCCAAUAUGAUUGCCAAACUGGAACUACAAGACCUCUUUACAAUUGCAAGACGAACAAGCUAGAAGUUGAUGUUUAUGUACAAAGUGGUUCAGGGGCUGAUUCCCGUUAUUGAACCAGACGAAUUUCUAAAAAAAAGCACGUCCUAAGAGAAACAUAACUGCCAAGAAGUUCGAAGAAUACCACGCAACAAAUAUUGUGGAAAACAAGUUAGAAUCACUCUAAGUGUUUUGACAUUCCACUAAGCAAAACACCACAAUACUCAAACUCACUCUUUGAAAAGACAGUGAUCGCGUCGAAUCAGCUACACAACACUGUAGACUAAGUGCGCGCAUCAAGCGUAGAGAGCGUCAAAUCUGCUCUUAAUGCUCGUCAAUAUAUCUGCGCGCUCUCUCAAACCG
Molecule: long non-coding RNA, 1294 nt
Filed under: Mytilus galloprovincialis (Mediterranean mussel)
Lineage: Eukaryota; Metazoa; Mollusca; Bivalvia; Mytilida; Mytilidae
Source: RNAcentral